Molecule: ribosomal RNA, 460 nt
Filed under: uncultured bacterium
Lineage: Bacteria
Description: partial 16S ribosomal RNA
Rfam family: Bacterial small subunit ribosomal RNA
Source: RNAcentral
CCUACGGGAGGCAGCAGUGAGGAAUAUUGGUCAAUGGGCGGAAGCCUGAACCAGCCAAGUCGCGUGAGGGAAGACGGUCCUAUGGAUUGUAAACCUCUUUAGGCGGGGAGCAAUGCCGGGCACGCGUGCCCGGAGGGAGAGUACCCGCAGAAUAAGCAUCGGCUAACUCCGUGCCAGCAGCCGCGGUAAUACGGGGGAUGCGAGCGUUACCCGGAUUGAUUGGGUUUAAAGGGUGCGUAGGCGGAUUUUUAAGUCAGCGGUAAAAUGUCCGGGCUCAACCCGGGCCGGCCGUUGAAACUGGGGAUCUUGAGUGGGCGAGAGGUAUGCGGAAUGCGUGGUGUAGCGGUGAAAUGCAUAGAUAUCGCGCAGAACUCCGAUUGCGAAGGCAGCAUACCGGCGCCCGACUGACGCUGAGGCACGAAAGCGUGGGGAUCGAACAGGAUUAGAUACCCCGGUAGUC